Non-coding RNA from Vicia faba (fava bean), 318 nucleotides. NCBI's taxonomy places the organism in Eukaryota, Viridiplantae, Streptophyta, Magnoliopsida, Fabales, Fabaceae. The record is from the annotation of a GenBank genome assembly.
AUGAGAAAAACUUCCACAUCUGGCGUCAACAGGUGGAGCCCUACAUCAACGCGUACAAUCUCGCAGAUCUCGCCGUGUGCACUCGAAUUCCUCCCAAAUUCGUGGACGAUGAUGCUCGUCGUCAAGGUACGAUCAAUCCUACAUACUCAAUUUGGCUUCAGAAAGAUCAAUUGCUUCUAUCAUGGCUUCAAUCGACUCUUUCGAGCAAAAUUGUGUCGCGUGUUCUUGGAUGCUCUCAUUCGCAUCAACUCUGGGAUCAGUUAUUCAGUUAUUUCCAGAAGCAAACUCGUGCACGUGCACGCCAAUUGCGUGCCCUAA